This 993-nucleotide ribosomal RNA is filed under the name Bacillus cereus. RNAcentral's name for it is "bacterial SSU rRNA". It matches the Rfam family "Bacterial small subunit ribosomal RNA", at positions 80 to 1055 of the family's 1533-position model. Lineage: Bacteria; Bacillati; Bacillota; Bacilli; Caryophanales; Bacillaceae. The record is from RNAcentral.
UUGCUCUUAUGAAGUUAGCGGCGGACGGGUGAGUAACACGUGGGUAACCUGCCCAUAAGACUGGGAUAACUCCGGGAAACCGGGGCUAAUACCGGAUAACAUUUUGAACCGCAUGGUUCGAAAUUGAAAGGCGGCUUCGGCUGUCACUUAUGGAUGGACCCGCGUCGCAUUAGCUAGUUGGUGAGGUAACGGCUCACCAAGGCAACGAUGCGUAGCCGACCUGAGAGGGUGAUCGGCCACACUGGGACUGAGACACGGCCCAGACUCCUACGGGAGGCAGCAGUAGGGAAUCUUCCGCAAUGGACGAAAGUCUGACGGAGCAACGCCGCGUGAGUGAUGAAGGCUUUCGGGUCGUAAAACUCUGUUGUUAGGGAAGAACAAGUGCUAGUUGAAUAAGCUGGCACCUUGACGGUACCUAACCAGAAAGCCACGGCUAACUACGUGCCAGCAGCCGCGGUAAUACGUAGGUGGCAAGCGUUAUCCGGAAUUAUUGGGCGUAAAGCGCGCGCAGGUGGUUUCUUAAGUCUGAUGUGAAAGCCCACGGCUCAACCGUGGAGGGUCAUUGGAAACUGGGAGACUUGAGUGCAGAAGAGGAAAGUGGAAUUCCAUGUGUAGCGGUGAAAUGCGUAGAGAUAUGGAGGAACACCAGUGGCGAAGGCGACUUUCUGGUCUGUAACUGACACUGAGGCGCGAAAGCGUGGGGAGCAAACAGGAUUACAUACCCUGGUAGCUCACGCCGUAAACUAUGAGCGCUAAGUGUUAGAGGGUUUCUGCCCUUUAGUGCUGAAGUUAACGCAUUAAGCACUCCACCUGGGGAGUACGGCCGCAAGGCUGAAACUCAAAGGAAUUGACGGGGGCCCGCACAAGCGGUGGAACAUGUGGUUUAAUUCGAAGCAACGCGAAGAACCUUACCAGGUCUUGACAUCCUCUGACAACCCUAGAGAUAGGGCUUCUCCUUCUGGAGCAGAGUGACAGGUGGUGCAUGGUUGUCGU